GACGAACGCUGGCGGCGUGCUUAACACAUGCAAGUCGAACGGAAAGGCCCUGCUUUUGUGGGGUGCUCGAGUGGCGAACGGGUGAGUAACACGGGAGUAACCUGCCCUUGACUUUGGGAUAACUUCAGGAAACUGGGGCUAAUACCGGAUAGGAGCUCCUGCUGCAUGGUGGGGGUUGGAAAGCUUCGGCGGUUGGGGAUGGACUCGCGGCUUAUCAGCUUGUUGGUGGGGUAGUGGCUUACCAAGGCUUUGACGGGUAGCCGGCCUGGGAGGGUGACCGGCCACAUUGGGACUGAGGUACGGCCCAGACUCCUACGGGAGGCAGAAGUGGGGAAUAUUGCACAAUGGGCGGAAGCCUGAUGCAGCAGCGCCGCGUGCGGGAUGACGGCCUUCGGGUUGUAAACCGCUUUCGCCUGUGACGAAGCGUGAGUGACGGUAAUGGGUAAAGAAGCACCGGCUAACUACGUG
This 468-nucleotide ribosomal RNA is filed under the name uncultured bacterium. RNAcentral describes it as "partial 16S ribosomal RNA". It matches the Rfam family "Bacterial small subunit ribosomal RNA", at positions 28 to 507 of the family's 1533-position model. The record is from RNAcentral.